AGAUGUGAGAGGCAUCUGUCUGUGACGUGUCACCUCAUUGAUCACCAGGGUUGAUUUGGAUGACCUGGUUGACUCGAUGAGUUUCCCGUCCUCACUCACAGCUCCAUGCCUGUCCUUGUUACAAUAAAUCUCCAAGCGCAAUAAGCCCA
This 149-nucleotide small nuclear RNA is filed under the name Rattus norvegicus (Norway rat). RNAcentral describes it as "7SK RNA". The stretch from base 1 to 105 matches the Rfam family "7SK RNA", at positions 1 to 108 of the family's 331-position model. Rfam says of the family: 7SK was discovered as an abundant small nuclear RNA in the mid-70s but a possible function has only recently been suggested. Two independent studies have found that 7SK RNA binds the CDK9/cyclin T complex (known as elongation factor P-TEFb). The record is from Rfam by way of RNAcentral. Lineage: Eukaryota; Metazoa; Chordata; Mammalia; Rodentia; Muridae.